This 750-nucleotide ribosomal RNA is filed under the name uncultured Planctomycetaceae bacterium. Its description in RNAcentral is "bacterial SSU rRNA". It matches the Rfam family "Bacterial small subunit ribosomal RNA", at positions 33 to 796 of the family's 1533-position model. The record is from RNAcentral. Lineage: Bacteria; Pseudomonadati; Planctomycetota; Planctomycetia; Planctomycetales; Planctomycetaceae.
AUCUGAUUGGCAUGGAUUAGGCAUGCAAGUCGCACGCUGUACCCCGCAAGGGGGAAAGUGGCGUAAGGGAGAGUAACGCGUGGGUUAUCUGCCUUCAGAUUCGGGAUAGCUGCGGGAAACUGCAGGUAAUACCGGAUAAUGUCUCCGGACCAAAGGUGUGAUUCCGUCUGAAGAUGAGCCCGCGUCCUAUCUGCUAGUUGGUGAGGUAACGGCUCACCAAGGCAGCGACGGGUACUGGGUGUGAGAGCACGACCCAGCUCACUGGGACUGAGACACUGCCCAGACACCUACGGGUGGCUGCAGUCGAGGAUCUUCGGCAAUGGGCGCAAGCCUGGCCGAGCGACGCCGCGUGUGGGAUGAAGGCCUUCGGGUUGUAAAUCGCUGUCAGUGGGGAGGAAAUGCCGGUGGGUUCUCCCAGCGGUUUGACCUAUCCGCAGAGGAAGGACGGGCUAAGUUCGUGCCAGCAGCCGCGGUAAGACGAACCGUCCAAACGUUAUUCGGAAUCACUGGGCUUAAAGGGUGCGUAGGCGGCUCUGAAAGUUGGGUGUGAAAGCCCUCGGCUCAACCGAGGAAUUGUGCCCAAAACUACAGAGCUAGAGGAAGACAGAGGUGAGCGGAACUUAGGGUGGAGCGGUGAUAUGCGUUGAGAUCCUAAGGAACACCAGUAGCGAAAGCGGCUCACUGGGUCUUUUCUGACGCUGAGUGCACGAAAGCUAGGGGAGCGAAGAGGAUUAGAUACCCUCGUAGUCC